This is a long non-coding RNA of Balaenoptera acutorostrata (minke whale), 2810 nucleotides long. RefSeq lists it as uncharacterized. The transcript is spliced from 5 exons. The record is from RefSeq and is a predicted model, not a curated record. NCBI's taxonomy places the organism in Eukaryota, Metazoa, Chordata, Mammalia, Artiodactyla, Balaenopteridae.
GCCAAGUGAAGACACAGAGGGACACACAGAAAACUCCAUGUGAAGAUGGAGGCAGAGACUGGAGUAAUGAGCCUACAAGCCACGGAACACCAAGUAUUGCCAGCAACCACCAGAAGCUGGAAAAGGCAAGGUCAGAUUCUUCUCUAGUCCCUCCAGCAGGAACACGGCCCGGCAGAAACAUUUACUGGUGCACACCGCUCAAGAAAUAGACUUCAUCGGCCUCACCAACACCUACAUGGCAAAACGAACGCUUGAGGACCUGAAGCCGGCUCCCUUCCUCACUCACCUGCUGGGCGGGAAGCCCCGCCGGGCGGAGCUCGGGUCCCCUCAGGAUCUGCCCCUCCAUCACCAGCGCCACAGCCAGGGCCGCCGCCACUCUUCCAAAGCCACCUGAAGAAGCUGCUCAGUGUCCUAACAAGGUCAUAUUCUGAUGCUCACUUUGAAUGUGUCCAAAAAGGAAAAUGGAAAAGACAGCAUUUUUCAAAGGUUAGAACAGAGAGCCAUGGAGAAUAAAUGGACUGGGAAGCCCCUUCCGGGUCUAAUCAAGGAACAUUUCUCUCGUCUUGGGAUAAAGGAUCCUUACAAUAUCUGCCUACUGGGAUUUCACACCUGCUACACACCAGCAACUGCUGUGUCUCCUAUUUUUCUCCAGGGAAUAGUUAUUGAGGUUACCCUGAACACAAGUUUACCAGUGUACACUGGAUGUUUAGGGAACUGAUGACUUGCCUUUUUAGUUCAUAAGUUUUUUGGAUCAAGCAGAGCCACACUCAGACAUGAAGCAUGUUUCUUCCUGAUGUAGGGACUACACUGUAUCACCCAUAGAUUCUGCUCUUUGAACUUGAUGUUCUCAUUGAAAGGCACUUCUGGGUCUUCUCCUUCAGGGACAGGUUUGCCUGUUUGCAGUUAACUGCGCCUAUGAGCCAUGCUUUGGCUGAUGAACCAUGAGCAGAAGUGUCUGUGCAGCAGCUUUAAGAGAAAGUAUGUGAUUUGCUAUAAUUUUCUUUCCCUCUGUCCCAGUGACAGGCAACCUAAUAGAUAGUGGAUGGUACAAAAUCCUGGGUUUCGGAGUGAGAGAACUGGAGAACCCACAGACAUCUAUUGAUGGACAUAUAUUAGGAGCAAGAAAUACAUCUUUGUUGUUUUGAGCCUCUGGAUCUGGGGAUUGUUUGUCACUACAGCAUUACCUAGCGCAUCCUGAUUGAUACAAGUACCAAACUAAGAGAUGGUAUUUAAACUAUAGUCUUAGCCCUGCCACCGAAUAUCUAUGCACCAAGUCACUUGACAUCUGUAAAUGUAAGUUUCAUCACUUGUGAUAUAGGAUUAAUCAUUCUUCCCUUGUCACUGGAUUUUUUUUUUUUUUGGUAUCCAGUAUUUGUGAAAGUGUUUGAAAAAUGUAAAGCAUGUGCAAAUAUAUGCCAGUAGUAUCAUUAACAACACUGAAUUGGUUUAUUCUCCCCUGUAUAAUCCUAAUCCCAGGAAGAAAACAUUAGGGAAGUUAUGAAAACUCUAGAUUUAAAUCAGAUAACAGUGGAAUGAAUGACUUGAUAAUUUCAGCAUGAAGUAGUAAUAUUUCCAUCUAAAGUAGCUAAAUAACUAUGCACACCUUCUUUUACAACCAUAAACUUCUUUAAAGAGUCUUUAAUGCUUUUGAAAUUUUAUUGUAAGUUAAAAAGUUGUGACUAACAAAAGUAAAACCAAAGGUAAUUUUAGAAGAAAAAUGUUUAUUUUGGCCUUAGAAUAUAUUACAUUUUUGUUUUGUGUGAUGUCAAGGUGAGCACUGAGUUGGCUUGUUUACCACAAAUUUCAGAGUCAAGCUUAUUAAACUGCUUUGUUUUCAAACUCCAUCUGCCUUUCCUUCACCCCUGCAUUCUGAGUUCGAAGGGCUUGACGCUUGUCUUCCAUUGAGAUCCUCACAUUAGAAAGAAUGAAUCAUAGAGUCCUGUAAAAAUGCCGUUUCUAUUAUUUUCUGAAAACCUAAAGGCAGGAGAAUCCUUUGACCACUUUGCAAAGUGUGUGAGCCAGUUGAGAUGUUCUUCACUGGUUAACAAUGGCCGUAAACUGGUCACUAGAGCUGUCCGUGAGAGAGAAUUCUGGGUCUCAUGGGAAUGUUAUUUUUGGCUUGCCAUUUGCUGUGUUAUGAAUGGCCAGGCAGGUAGGGUGGGGCUCCAUGCUAAUUCUAUAAAGUGCUAGGUUGACUGGUGCUAUCACAGUAAUGAUGAUGAUGUGUGAUGAAUAAUUAUACAUGAAACGCUGAGUUACUUCUUCAAAUCAUUUCUCUGCUACUUACAGAAAAAUAUUCAUUUUGUAAAACAUGUGCUAAACUCUUUAGUUGAAAUAAGUAAAGUAUAGAAUAGUAUAUAGUAUAGCAUUAACAAGAAACUUGCCACUUGUAACUCAAAUAAUGUGGCUCUAAGUUCUUGAAAGGACAUUUGUGCAUGCCAAAGCAUAUAGUCAUUAGAUGUACAUCUGUAUUUUUUAGGUCCUAACAAUAUCUUCAUCUUUUGGAGUUUCAUUUUGUUGCUUUGUAGAUGUUAGUAUAACAAUGUCACUCUUUCUCCCUAGCAUAGUAUAAAUAAAACCUGAGAUUUUUACAUGCAGGUUUAAUGUGUAGCUUCCUUAAUGUGUAGCUCUAAAUACUUUGAAGAAUUCUAUGUACUAAUCAUACACUUGGUUUAUACUUGAAAAAUAUCUAACCAAAAUAUUCUUUUAAAUGUUGCUGUACUGAGAAAGGAUAUUUAUACUAAAUAGAAAAGAUGAGGUAGUUUCCCUGUUGAAAGAAUUUUCUUCCCAAUGCCUAAUAUCUUAUUUUU